UCACUAUUGCCAGAUUCCUCUGAAUUCACAGAUGUGUAGCUCCAAAGGAUCAGCUUCACACAACCUAAAGACUGCCUGGAGGUGCAACAAAUGUAGAAGAAAACGUCCAUAUUUUCCUUCAGACUCAUGUGUUCCUUCGUGGGCAGAAUGCUGCGGUCAGCGAUUUGAGGAUUCUUCCACUGGAUUUUAAACAGAAACAUACUGUUGAAUGUCUGCAUUGGCGGCUUCCUUCAGCUUUUUCUACCCUGAGGACUUUCCAGGCUGAAAUCUGAAUUGUUUACCAAAGUCUGUGGCUCUGGGCCAUGGGUGAGGAUCAAGAAAGAAUGAAGGGUCACAGCUUAGUGACUUAUGCUGUUGUCUGUGAGUACAUCCUGAAGAGAUAUCAACCAUUGGAGUUUGGGAACUGAAUUACCUACUUCCCUUAUACACCGGUGUCUCCUAAGGGCAUCCAUGAGAUAAUAUUGCCCACUUCAGAUGGAAUUCCCACACAGGUAUAAUCAAGAAGAGGGAUCUCAAAGGUUGAGACUGUGGAAUGGGAGCAUUGGCAACUCCUGCAAAAAUGGAAACACUUUGCAUAACAACCCAACGAUGGCCUGUGUCUGUCAUUCGAAGACUAAUUACAGCUGCAUUUGGACAACAAACAAUAUCACUUUCAGAGCAUUGGCCAUCAAGUGGUAAUCUUGCUUUUCUUUUGGAAAUGGCAACUCAAAAGAGCAUGCAUGAAGGCAUAGAAUUAUUGUGCUCUUCCAUGUUGAAAGGAAUAUUC
This is a non-coding RNA of Phascolarctos cinereus (koala), 766 nucleotides long. NCBI's taxonomy places the organism in Eukaryota, Metazoa, Chordata, Mammalia, Diprotodontia, Phascolarctidae. The record is from RefSeq and is a predicted model, not a curated record.